Molecule: ribosomal RNA, 258 nt
Filed under: uncultured bacterium
Lineage: Bacteria
Description: partial 16S ribosomal RNA
Rfam family: Bacterial small subunit ribosomal RNA
Source: RNAcentral
CGGCACGGGUGAGUAACGCGUAUGCAACUUACCUAUCAGGAGGGGGAUAACCCGGCGAAAGUCGGACUAAUACCGCAUGAAGCAGGGGCCCCGCAUGGGGAUAUUUGCUAAAGAUUCAUCGCUGAUAGAUAGGCAUGCGUUCCAUUAGGCAGUUGGCGGGGUAACGGCCCACCGGGGCGACGAUCAGUAGGGGUUCUGAGAGGAAGGUCCCCCACAUUGGAACUGAGACACGGUCCAGACUCCUACGGAAGGCAGCAG